Molecule: ribosomal RNA, 253 nt
Filed under: uncultured bacterium
Lineage: Bacteria
Description: partial 16S ribosomal RNA
Rfam family: Bacterial small subunit ribosomal RNA
Source: RNAcentral
UACGUAGGGUGCAAGCGUUGUCCGGAAUUAUUGGGCGUAAAGAGCUCGUAGGCGGUCUGUUGCGUCGGCUGUGAAAACCCGGGGCUCAACCCCGGGCCUGCAGCCGAUACGGGCAGACUAGAGUUCGGCAGGGGAGACUGGAAUUCCUGGUGUAGCGGUGAAAUGCGCAGAUAUCAGGAGGAACACCGGUGGCGAAGGCGGGUCUCUGGGCCGAUACUGACGCUGAGGAGCGGAAGCGUGGGGAGCGAACAGG